Molecule: transfer RNA, 73 nt
Filed under: Vibrio parahaemolyticus
Lineage: Bacteria; Pseudomonadati; Pseudomonadota; Gammaproteobacteria; Vibrionales; Vibrionaceae
Description: tRNA-Lys
Rfam family: Bacterial large subunit ribosomal RNA
Source: RNAcentral
CUAAGUACCCCGAGGAAAAGAAAUCAACCGAGAUUCCGAAAGUAGCGGCGAGCGAAAUUGGACUAGCCCUUAA